UAACAAGGUCUCCGUUGGUGAACCAGCGGAGGGAUCAUUGCUGGAACGCGCCCCAGGCGCACCCAGAAACCCUUUGUGAACUUAUACCUUACUGUUGCCUCGGCGCACGCCGGCCCCCAGGGGCCCCUCGGAGACGAGGAGCAGGCACGCCGGCGGCCAAGUUAACUCUUGUUUUUACACUGAAACUCUGAGAAAAAAAAACAAAAUGAAUCAAAACUUUCAACAACGGAUCUCUUGGUUCUGGCAUCGAUGAAGAACGCAGCGAAAUGCGAUAAGUAAUGUGAAUUGCAGAAUUCAGUGAAUCAUCGAAUCUUUGAACGCACAUUGCGCCCUCCGGUAUUCCGGAGGGCAUGCCUGUUCGAGCGUCAUUUCAACCCUCAAGCACUGCUUGGUGUUGGGGCACUGCCUUUUUCCGGAAGGCAGGCCCUGAAAUUCAGUGGCGAGCUCGCCAGGACCCCGAGCGCAGUAGUUAAACCCUCGCUUUGGAAGGCCCUGGCGGUGCCCUGCCGUUAAACCCCCAACUCUUGAAAAUUUGACCUCGGAUCAGGUAGGAAUACCCGCUGAACUUAAGCAUAUCAAUAAGCCGGAGG
RNAcentral lists this ribosomal RNA (590 nucleotides) under fungal sp. Its description in RNAcentral is "eukaryotic LSU rRNA". The stretch from base 215 to 368 matches the Rfam family "5.8S ribosomal RNA". The record is from RNAcentral. Lineage: Eukaryota; Fungi.